This is a long non-coding RNA of Cornus florida, 2171 nucleotides long. RefSeq lists it as uncharacterized. The transcript is spliced from 8 exons. The record is from RefSeq and is a predicted model, not a curated record. Lineage: Eukaryota; Viridiplantae; Streptophyta; Magnoliopsida; Cornales; Cornaceae.
UUAUGUUUCAUUAUUCAUUAUUCAUUUCUUAUUUGUCCAUCCGUCGUCCUCCCUUUCUCUCUCUACCCCCACUCCUAAUCGCAGAUCACUUUCUCUCUCUACCCCUACUCCUCUCUCUCUAUAUCUUACUUCUCGUCUACUACUCUUUCUCUCUCACACUAGUUAAACCUUGUGUAUUGGGAAUGAUAAUGGUGUUGGAUCCGUAGAAAUGAAUCAGAGUUUGAAGGAAUCUCUGAUCGGAGGGAGGUCGCAUCACCGGCGAGGUCUCACUCUCAACGAAAUCUCCAAGGAUACGGACGAGAAAUCGGAUCUCUUCUCUAGGUAUCGCCGGAGUCUCUUCGUUGCUUCGUCCGACGAAUCGGACGGUACGAUUCCUCUUCAUAUGUACCGCGUUUCAGUGAAAUUGGGGAGACUUUCAGUUGGGUCAGCGAAACCGUCGAGGAAUGGGAUAGAUGAUCUAUUGUCAUCAACUGACAAAGGAAAGCACGACUAGGAUUGGUCUCUACAUCCAUGAAGGACCUGUGUCAUGAAGUUUUUGGGAUACAAAAGGAAAAGAAAGAUCCAAGAGAUAUGAAAGGGAACUGAGAAUUGCUAGAUGCAUUGCCUGAGAAAAGAACAUUAGAGGAUGGUGGUUAUUUGUGUGAUGAUGCAAAAGAGAUCUGUCUUCUAUAAAUACCCUUCAUUUCAUCCUCAUAUCCCAAAACUACCAGAAGGUGUGAUUAUGCCGAGGAAGGAACAGGUGCGAAUUUGGGUCGGGCAAAAUUUCGCUUCAACAUAUAAAUAUAAGAUGACCCCAUCUGGCAUGUCUCCGGCAGAUUUUGACCGUAACAGUGCAUAAGUUGAAAAUAAAUGACUAUAGUGCCCUUAUACACAUGAAAGGACAAAAAUACCCUUAGUUGUUAAGGUUACAACCAAACAAGUAACAAAAAGGUCAUAAUGAGAUAGCCAAACACCCCUAAGCGGUACGACUUCUGGAACCUAACACGAGCACCACGCCCACAGAACUUCUUGGGUUCGCAGCUUCUGGGGUCAGCCACUAGGAGGAAUUGUUCGCCGGAGAAGAAACAAUUGUAGAUGAUGGCAAACGCUUCCUCGCUGAAGAAGCGUUCAACUGAUUGCGGUGUCUAUACAUAUUUGCAGACAAGGGUAGAGAGAGAAAGAGGAGCAAGGACGAUACCGAAGUUCCUGAGAGAGAGAAUGGACAGUGCUGAUCGAGUGGAGAGGCGAGAACUGCCAGGAUUGAAUCAGAUGGGCUUUUGUGGGGCCACGUGGGGUUUCAGAUUAUAGUCCAUCAACAUCAGGGACGAGGAGGAGAACAAGGAAGGCCCACCACAUCAACAAAGAGAAGAAGGAGUCGAGAUUAUAGAUGUGGAGUCGAGAUUAUAGCAACAACCGGCGUUCGUUCCUCUCCUCUUCAUAACGACGGCGAAUUUGCCCAAAUCAGCCUCCGCUCCUUCUCGGUGCUUGACCGCAGCAGAGAGUUGAUGUUAAGGCAGAAGGCGUGAAGAAGAUCACGGUCGAAGCUUGAAGUCUGAAGCGCAGUCGCCAAAGAAGAGGGGGCGCGUGUGCACGUGAAAACAUGUUUGAUCUAUUCGCAGGAGCGCGUGACGCCCUUAGAGUCUGGAAAUACUGGUGAACUUGGCGAUCUGGCCAAGCCACUCCUCCUCUCUAUUCGUUCUGGUGCUGCAGUGGUGUGGAUAGGGAAAAAUUAGCGGUGGUGGUGGUGUGGAGAGGGAAGUGGCACUGUUAGAGAGGGAUGUUGUAUGCGACAGUAAGUGAUUAGUUUCUAGUGGUGCGGCUCGAAGUUCAGUCCGGCAGUGAUGGUUGUCUGUGGUGUUCAGUCUGGCGGCGAUGGUUGUUUGUGGUGUACGUUGCAGCAGAGCUGUAACGUAAAUGGGUACAACCUAUUAAAAAUUUUAUCAUUUUUGUUAUUUAUUUUUUUUAUUUUUGGUUGACUUUGUGUCUCAUUUUUAUUGGCUUCUAAAUUAUUUAGUUGCCAUGUCACCAAGUAUGUCACCAAGUAUAAUGGGUAACUCUUCAAACUAUGUAUUAAUUAAGGGUAAAUUUGUCUUUUCAUUUUUCCGACCAAGUUACUUGCCGGAAUGGACUGAAAUGUAACAAAUCAAUAGUUCCGAAUUUUUUUUGUAGUUCAAGGAAAUUUGUUACAAUAU